This 247-nucleotide long non-coding RNA is filed under the name Capsicum annuum. RNAcentral's name for it is "long non-coding RNA (CANN_LNC000483)". The record is from RNAcentral. Lineage: Eukaryota; Viridiplantae; Streptophyta; Magnoliopsida; Solanales; Solanaceae.
CCCAACAUCUGCCUUUACCGUGUUCAAAGCUGCUCUAAAUUUAGCUAGAUCAGCCCCUGAUAUUUCUUUUGCCCGUGUAUCAAAUCAGUUCUCCAAAUCUGUAACUCAUCCAGGAAAAGUCACAAAAGGCUCAAGAGCAGCCUUGAUUCUCUUGUCUAAUGCAGCGGCAAAAUAUUUGGCAAAGGUAUGUAGUUAUGCCUCAUACUAUUUGGCUUGUUUGGCCAUUUUUUUUAUAUCAAUCGGAUGA